Molecule: ribosomal RNA, 253 nt
Filed under: uncultured bacterium
Lineage: Bacteria
Description: partial 16S ribosomal RNA
Rfam family: Bacterial small subunit ribosomal RNA
Source: RNAcentral
UACGUAGGGACCAAGCGUUGUUCGGAUUUACUGGGCGUAAAGGGCGCGUAGGCGGCAUGACAAGUCACUUGUGAAAUCUCCGGGCUUAACUCGGAACGGUCAAGUGAUACUGUCGCGCUAGAGUGCGGAAGGGGCAAUCAGAAUUCUUGGUGUAGCGGUGAAAUGCGUAGAGAUCAAGAGGAAUACCUGAGGUGAAGACGGGUUGCUAGGCCGACACUGACGCUGAAGCGCGAAAGCCAGGGGAGCAAACGGG